AGGCUCGUAGUGUACCAGGCG
RNAcentral lists this unclassified non-coding RNA (21 nucleotides) under Mus musculus (house mouse). Its description in RNAcentral is "oocyte_clustered_small_RNA8639". Lineage: Eukaryota; Metazoa; Chordata; Mammalia; Rodentia; Muridae. The record is from RNAcentral.